AGAAUCAACGCUGGCGGCGUGCCUAACACAUGCAAGUCGAACGAGAAAGUGGAGCAAUCCAUGAGUACAGUGGCGUACGGGUGAGUAACACGUGACUAACCUACCCUCGAGUGGGGAAUAACCUCGGGAAACCGGGGCUAAUACCGCAUAACAUCUUCGGAUCAAAUGCGUAAGCAGCUUGAGGAGGGGGUCGCGGCCGAUUAGCUAGUUGGCGGGGUAAUGGCCCACCAAGGCAAUGAUCGGUAGCCGGCCUGAGAGGGCGCACGGCCACACUGGAACUGAAACACGGUCCAGACUCCUACGGGAGGCAGCAGUGGGGAAUUUUGCGCAAUGGGGGAAACCCUGACGCAGCAACGCCGCGUGGAGGAUGAAGCCCUUUGGGGCGUAAACUCCUUCGAUCGGGACGAUUAUGACGGUACCGGAAGAAGAAGCACCGGCUAACUCUGUGCCAGCAGCCGC
RNAcentral lists this ribosomal RNA (459 nucleotides) under uncultured bacterium. RNAcentral describes it as "SSU rRNA". It matches the Rfam family "Bacterial small subunit ribosomal RNA", at positions 26 to 518 of the family's 1533-position model. The record is from RNAcentral.